This 301-nucleotide ribosomal RNA is filed under the name uncultured bacterium. RNAcentral's name for it is "partial 16S ribosomal RNA". It matches the Rfam family "Bacterial small subunit ribosomal RNA", at positions 509 to 807 of the family's 1533-position model. The record is from RNAcentral.
CAGCAGCCACGGGAAUACGAAGGGGGCUAGCGUUGUUCGGAAUUACUGGGCGUAAAGCGCGCGUAGGCGGAUAUUUAAGUCAGGGGUGAAAUCCCAGAGCUCAACUCUGGAACUGCCUUUGAUACUGGGUAUCUUGAGUAUGGAAGAGGUGAGUGGAAUUCCGAGUGUAGAGGUGAAAUUCGUAGAUAUUCGGAGGAACACCAGUGGCGAAGGCGGCUCACUGGUCCAUUACUGACGCUGAGGUGCGAAAGCGUGGGGAGCAAACAGGAUUAGAUACCCCAGUAGUCCCUGUCUCUUAUAC